AGAGUUUGAUCCUGGCUCAGAACGAACGCUGGCGGCAUGCCUAACACAUGCAAGUCGAACGCCCCGCAAGGGGAGUGGCGAACGGGUGAGUAACGCGUGGGAACCUACCCAGCAGUUGGGGAUAACCGCGGGAAACUGCGGCUAAUACCGAAUACGUCCUGAGGGAGAAAGAUUUAUCGCUGUUGGAGGGGCCCGCGUCGGAUUAGCUAGUUGGUGAGGUAAUGGCUCACCAAGGCAUCGAUCCGUAGCUGGUCUGAGAGGAUGAUCAGCCACACUGGGACUUAGACACGGCCCAGACUCCUACGGGAGGCAGCAGUGGGGAAUAUUGGACAAUGGGGGCAACCCUGAUCCAGCAAUGCCGCGUGAGUAAUGAAGGCCUUAGGGUUGUAAAGCUCUUUUACCGGGGACGAUGAUGACGGUACCCGGAGAAUAAGCCCCGGCUAACUUCGUGCCAGCAGCCGCGGUAAUACGAAGGGGGCGAGCGUUGUUCGGAGUUACUGGGCGUAAAGGGCGCGUAGGCGGCGCUCCAAGUUAGGCGUGAAAGCCCCGGGCUCAACCUGGGAAUAGCGCUUAAGACUGGAGUGCUUGAGUGCGGGAGAGGUGAGUGGAAUUCCCAGUGUAGAGGUGAAAUUCGUAGAUAUUGGGAAGAACACCAGUGGCGAAGGCGGCUCACUGGCCCGCAACUGACGCUGAGGCGCGAAAGCGUGGGGAGCAAACAGGAUUAGAUACCCUGGUAGUCC
Molecule: ribosomal RNA, 740 nt
Filed under: uncultured bacterium
Lineage: Bacteria
Description: bacterial SSU rRNA
Rfam family: Bacterial small subunit ribosomal RNA
Source: RNAcentral